CAUGGUAAUGGUACCCAAAGCUCUCAUCCAUCAAAUAUGCCUCCCUAGCAUCUCAAUCCAUCAUUUUGAUCAAAUCCAGUCAAAGGGUUUGAGGUUGGUACCCCAAGGAAACCCUAAUUCAUCUGUGUACCACAAUGCCUUGCUCUUGAAGCAACCUCAGCCCAUGAUCAAAUACAAUCAAGGUAAGUUCUUUAAUUCAUAAUUUCAUGCAUAUUU
Molecule: long non-coding RNA, 216 nt
Filed under: Lathyrus oleraceus (garden pea)
Lineage: Eukaryota; Viridiplantae; Streptophyta; Magnoliopsida; Fabales; Fabaceae
Description: Pisum sativum (pea) long non-coding RNA (PSAT_LNC017365)
Source: RNAcentral